GAACGAACGCUGGCGGCAUGCCUAACACAUGCAAGUCGAACGAGACCUUCGGGUCUAGUGGCGCACGGGUGCGUAACGCGUGGGAACCUGCCCUUAGGUUCGGAAUAACUCCCCGAAAGGGGUGCUAAUACCGGAUAAUGUCUUCGGACCAAAGAUUUAUCGCCUUUGGAUGGGCCCGCGUUGGACUAGCUAGUUGGUAGGGUAAAAGCCUACCAAGGCGACGAUCCAUAGCUGGUCUGAGAGGAUGAUCAGCCACACUGGGACUGAGACACGGCCCAGACUCCUACGGGAGGCAGCAGUGGGGAAUAUUGGACAAUGGGCGAAAGCCUGAUCCAGCAAUGCCGCGUGAGUGAUGAAGGCCUUAGGGUUGUAAAGCUCUUUUACCCGGGAUGAUAAUGACAGUACCGGGAGAAUAAGCGCCGGCUAACUCCGUG
RNAcentral lists this ribosomal RNA (434 nucleotides) under uncultured bacterium. RNAcentral describes it as "partial 16S ribosomal RNA". It matches the Rfam family "Bacterial small subunit ribosomal RNA", at positions 27 to 507 of the family's 1533-position model. The record is from RNAcentral.